Molecule: long non-coding RNA, 79 nt
Organism: Patiria miniata (bat star)
Lineage: Eukaryota; Metazoa; Echinodermata; Asteroidea; Valvatida; Asterinidae
Exons: 2
Source: RefSeq, a predicted model, not a curated record
ACUAGACUUGAAAUCAAGUCUGUAAUGAGUGGUUUUAAUCGCGUCCGCCGCGCGCGACUGCCAAGCUCUGUGCCGGGGG